GAGGGUAUAGCUCAGUGGUAGAAUACAUGCUUAGCAUGCAUGAGGUCCUGGGUUCAAUUCCCAGUACCUCCA
RNAcentral lists this transfer RNA (72 nucleotides) under Camelus bactrianus (Bactrian camel). It matches the Rfam family "tRNA". From Rfam's summary of the family: Transfer RNA (tRNA) molecules are approximately 80 nucleotides in length. Their secondary structure includes four short double-helical elements and three loops (D, anti-codon, and T loops). Lineage: Eukaryota; Metazoa; Chordata; Mammalia; Artiodactyla; Camelidae. The record is from Rfam by way of RNAcentral. RNAcentral also lists the same sequence under 2 other names.